AAGGAUCAUUAAAUAAUUUAGAUGGCCUUUGCUAGUUUUCUAGCGAAUGGUUCAUUCUUUUUUACUGUGAACUGUUUUAAUUUUUCAGCGUCUGAGGAAUGUCUUUUAGCCAUAGGGAUAGGCUACUAGAAUGUUAACCGAGCUGAAAGUCAGGCUUAGGCCUGGUAUCCUAUUAAUUAUUUACCAAAAGAAUUCAGUAUUAUAAUUGUAACAUAAGCGUAAAAAACUUAUAAAACAACUUUUAACAACGGAUCUCUUGGUUCUCGCAUCGAUGAAGAACGUAGCAAAGUGCGAUAACUAGUGUGAAUUGCAUAUUCAGUGAAUCAUCGAGUCUUUGAACGCAACUUGCGCUCAAUGGUAUUCCAUUGAGCACGCCUGUUUCAGUAUCAAAAACACCCCACAUUCAUAAUUUUGUUGUGAAUGGAAAUGAGAGUUUCGGCUUUAUUGCUGAAUUCUUUAAAAUUAUUAGGCCUGAACUAUUGUUCUUUCUGCCUGAACAUUUUUUUAAUAUAAAGGAAUGCUCUAGUAAAAAGACUAUCUCUGGGGCCUCCCAAAUAAAUCAUUCUUAAAUUUGAUCUGAAAUCAGGCGGGAUUACCCGCUGAACUUAAGCAUAUCA
This 617-nucleotide ribosomal RNA is filed under the name Mucor hiemalis. RNAcentral describes it as "eukaryotic LSU rRNA". The stretch from base 237 to 389 matches the Rfam family "5.8S ribosomal RNA". Lineage: Eukaryota; Fungi; Mucoromycota; Mucoromycetes; Mucorales; Mucoraceae. The record is from RNAcentral.